UCGAGAUGUGAGAUCCAUGAACAAAUCCUCACUGCAGGGAAUAGUAACACCGCCCAUUGGAUGUUCAAAGCCAAAUUCAUCCUCGGCUUGACUAAGCAAGUCUUGAAACAAAGGUUCGCUCAAGAAUGAUAUCGGAAUUACAAAUCUCUUUUUCUGCAUCUCUCCAACAUACACAGCAAAAUGGCCCUUGGGAAUAUCUCUAGUUGCGGAAGACCUCUUGAUCAUACGGAGAAUAGCCAUGAUCUCUUAGUUUUAGUAUAGAUGAGAAAAAAAGGACUGUUAAGGGAACUCAAAAGCAGAGAAAACUUUGAUGUUUACUGAGUGUUGUGGUGGUAGAUACCUCUUUGGAUAUGUUUAUAUAGGAAAUGGCAACUCAUAUUGAUGUGAAUCGAAUAGGAAUUUGUGGUCACCAGCAGAAGACAAUGGCACUCAAGUAUCACAUGCUCUUGCCUUCCAAGUAUUGAAUUGUGGUAUUAGUUGAAGAACAAUAGGCCCUACCUUUUCUGAAAACUUGGAAAGAAGCAUUAUUCAUUACAUAAUUUCUAAGAAGUGAUGAGAAGUCAUAAACCUCUUGAUAUGUGAUGAAGAGCCAUUUGGAUUGGGCUGCACAUGGUCAUGCCUUUCAACUAGUUGACAUGAUUGAUUCUUUUAGCAUAUAUAAGUUCAAGUAAAAUAGGUCCUACACAUUUAUUUCCAACAAAGGAUCUCUAAGAAUCAAAUCCAUAAAUAUUACUGGUAGCUUAUGAUGAUUUCUAGAAAUAAAACAUACCCCAGAUGCAAACUUUGUAUCCAAUUAUAUAAAAGAUAUACGAGAUAAGAAGUCAAAAAUAUGAAAGAUUUCACUGGUUGACACUGUUAGUUGACAAUAGCACAUGAAGUAUCACAUUGUCUUGUUCCCCAACUCAUUGUCUAAUAUACAUGAUCUUAGCGAUCAGAUUGGUAAAUUUACUGCUCUUGAAUAGCAGCAGACCCCAAUGUUUUGACAAGAUAGCGAACAUACAUCAAAUCGAUAAAUUUACUGCAAUAGCUGACAACUUGUAGGAUCAACACUCCCGAUUAGACUAACCUGUGUUAUUUCAAUAGAUUUUGGAAAGUGUUCUCAAAUAUUUGUGGGCUUUCAACAUGUCUGUGUUUGCAAAUCUCCAUAAAUUUAUGAGUCGGUCAAAACCUUACUAUAUAUUGGCAGAAAUUUGAGUCCAUCCAUAUUCGAGAAAAGUAUAAAUAUGGAAUACACAUUUUUAAGAGUUGAUCAAUUUACAUCCAGUUCUAUUGGAUUCAGUCGAACUGAGUACUUUCACAUUGCUGCAGAAUGGCAGAUCUAGUACAUGUUGAGUUAUACUUCAUUGUAUGAUGGACACUACCAUGUUUAUUUUAACUUCAUUUUGAACCACAAAGUAUAAUUCUUACCAAUGGAAUGAGUUGUGGCACUUUAGAAGACUGGAUUCUGACAAAAAACGAGGGUAGAGCAAAAAAAUUCUAUUGCAAUGAAUUGUUACAUCAAUAUAUGUAUAGAAUGAAACCAUGUAAGUAAAAAGUUUCAUUACUUCAAUUUCUUUUGAAGUAGAAAAAUGUGUCCUUAGUGUAACUAGUGUUUCUUCUAACUCUCAACUGUACACAGUUUCUAUCCUGACUUACUACAACUACACAAAAUUGUGUAAUUAAAAAAAUGGGGACUGGUUCCCUUCUCACUUCCGCAAUAUAGAUGUGAGAUUGAUGAACAAAUCUUCGCUGCAGGGAAUAGUCACACCACCCAUUGGAUGGUCGAAGCCAAAUUCUUCCUCAGAUUGACUAAGCAAGUCUUGAAAUAAAGGUUCGCUCAAGAAUGAUAUCGGGAUCACAAAUCUCUUUUUCUGCAUCUCCCCAACAUACACAGCAAAAUGGCCCUUGGGAAUAUCUCUGGUUGCGGAAGACUUCUUGAUCAUACGAAGAAUAGCCAUGAUCUCUAGUUUUAGUAUAGGUGAGAAAAAAAGAAGGAUUGUAAGGUUACCAAAAAGCACAGAAAGCUUUGAUGUUUGCUGAGUAUUGUGGUGGUAGAUACCUCUUUAGAUAUGUUUAUAUAGGAAAUGGCAACUCAUAUUGAUGUGUGUUGAAUAGGAAUGUGUGCAUACCAGCAGAAGACAAUGGCACUGUCGUAUCACAUGCUCUUGCCUUCCAAGUAUUGAAAACUUGUGGUGUUAGCUAAAUAACAAUAGGCCCUACCUUAUUUUGGAACUUGGGAAGAGCCAUUUGGAUUGGACAUCAGUAGAAGACAAUGAUAUAUUAGUAAUCACUUGGGCCUGCCUUCCAGCUAGUUGACAUGAUUAAUUGCUUUAGCAUAUAAGAUCAAGUUCAAUAGGUCCUACAUAUAUUUUCCUAUAGGGAACAAAGGAUCUCUAAGAAUCAAAUCCAUAAAUAUUGCUGGUAGCUUAUGAGGAUAUCUAGGAAUUAACCAUACCCCAUGCAAACUUUGUGUCCACUUGUAUAAAAAGGAUAAGAGAUAAAAGUUGGCUUAUUAAAAUUCAGAGCCAGUUAGUCAAAAUCAGAGAAUCAAAUAGAAACAGAGGGUUAUAUAUGCAAGAACAAUCCAUUGGUUAAAUAGUUGGCUCCCUAAGUACAUAAUCUUGUUUGCUAUCUUUUACAAAUACAUUGGUUUCUUCAUAAACAAAGAUAAAUAAGUUGGGAUCUUCCUCCAUAAAUAGCUUCCCAUCUCUACAUCCCAAACACAACCAUUAGUACUUUUUUAGUAGCAUUAAGCUCUCAAAUUUGUAUGCACCAGCUUGGAGGGAGUGUUUCAAUAGAAUAAGUAUUUCCUACUUAAAAUAGGAAUAGGAAUAAGAAUAGGAUUCCUAGUCAGAAAAGGACUCUAAUAUAGUGUCUAUAAAUAGGGUCUCAAUGUAAAAUUUAGAUACACAAUUCAAUAAUAUUUUUUCACCAUAUAUUUCUCACAAGGGUGACAACAAGACCAAGUUUUUCCACAGAUCAGCAAAUGCUCAUAGAAGAUAUAACAAUAUUGAUGAAUUUAUGGUGGAUGGGGAAGCAACCCAAAAACCAGAUGUUAUAAAGAAGGAGAUUGAGAGGUCUAUUAAAGAAUAUAUACUGAAACUGAGACAUGGAGGCCAGCUGGAGGAUGCAGGGCAGACCACAGAGCACAGAGUUUCUAUUGAAGACAAUCAUUCUAUGAAAGCUAGAUAUACAAAAGCUUAUGACCACCUCAAUAGGAUUUGGAGGUAGAUGGGUAAGAUGGAUGAAGUUCUGCAUAAGCACAGUCAAAUUCUCUGUCCUUAUCAAUCAAUGACUCCCCUACAGGUGAGCCUUCUACUCACAGAGAGGCCUAAGGCAAGGAGACCCAUUAUCUCCUUUUCAUCAUUGCCACGAGAUGUCUUAAUGAUAUGUUGAGAGUUGCUCAAGGAAUAGCUGGUUGAAGGGAUUCAAAGCUGCACACAGGGAAGGCUCAAACUUGGAGUUACUCAUUUGCUUUGCAGUAUGCUGAUGAUACAUUGAUCUUUUGUGAGGCUAAUAAGGACCAACUCAUGAUUCUCAAGGUCAUUUUUGUUAUUUUUGAAGCAGUCCCACGAUUACAUUCAACUGGAAUAAGAGCUUCAUAUAACCAGUUAAUGAGGUUCCUAACCUAACCUAAUUGGCUGGGGUCCUUGGUGGAAGUAUUGGGAAGCUACCAACUGUCUACUUGGGCAUGCCUCUGGGUGAUCAGAACAGGUCUAUAGAUAUAUGGAAUUGCGUGGUAAAGAAGUGCAAGAAGAGGUUGGUAAACUGGAAAAGUCAAUAUCUCUCCUUAGGAGGAAGACUAGCACUAAUCAAAAGUGUUUUGGACUCUAUGCCUACCUAUAUGAUGUCCCUCUUCCCUAUCCCUGAUGGGGUCAUUGAGAGAUUGGAUGUUCUAAGAAGAAACUUAGUGAAACCAAGAAGUUCCACUUGGUGAAAUGGGAUGCACUGAUUGGAAGUAAACAAAAAGGGGUGUGGGGGUAAGGAACUUAAAAACUCAGAACCAAUGUCUUAUGAUGAAAUGGCUCUGGAUAUUUGCUUCUAGGGAGUCAGCUCUCUGGAAAGAAGUUAUCCAGCUGAAGUAUGAAAUGGCAGAUCAUUGGACCACCAGAAUGGUCACCGAUACUUAUGGGAUCAACCUUUGGAGAUCCAUCAGAAACCUGUGGCCAAAGCUUAGAGAAAAUUGCAGCAUAAGAACAGAAGAUGGCAGGAAGGUACUUUUCUAGGAAUACAAGUGGUUACAUCAAGCCCCCCUAAGGGACACCUUCAAUGAUAUUUACACCCUAAACCAACAACAAAGGACCACUGUGGAUGAAGUCUGGUCAAAUCAGGGAUGGAAUUUGAGCUUUAGAAGACCUUUUAAUGACAAGGAGAUUUUGAGGUUAGUUGAGUUCUACAGCAAUUGGAGCAAUUCAAAGGAACCUCCACUGACCAAGAUAGAUUGGAGUGGGAGGGCCACAGUCAAGGUAAUUUCAGUAUGAAAGGGGCCUAUAAAAAAUUUAACCCCAAUAAUUAUCAGAUUGUGGGGGGCCUAGGAAGCUUAUAUGGAAAGUCAAAAUUCCUUAUAAAAUUUCCUGCUUCACUUGGCUUGUGGCCAAACAAGCUGUUUUAACCCAAGAAAACCUCAUGAAAAGGGGGAUACAUCUAAGUCCAAGGUGUUUUUUUGGGAAGAGAAGGCUGAGACUGUAACCCACCUUUUUAUACACUACAGGAUUACCCGUCAACUAUGGGAAAUAUUCCUAAGUAAGAAGGGCCUGAAUUGGGUAAUGCCAAGGAAAAUAGAUCAGACUUUGAAGAUCUGGAGCAGUUAUGCUAGCAUGUCAGACCAUAAGGAUAGGUGGAAAAUUGUACCAGCUUGAAUUUUGUGGGCUGCUUUGCGAUGAAAUUGAAGUGAUUAGUUUUGUUUCACUUUUGGUGUAAACAGGAGUAUAGGGAAUAUCUAGAAUCAAUUAAAGAUGCCUUAGGAUUAUUGUAAUUUUUUGUUAAAAGGGUUGAAGUUCUUCUAGAUACUCCCCUCCUCAACUGUAAUUAUGAAACCUGUAACUUGUCGUGGCAGGUUUCUGUUUUUGGGGAAAUAGAAUACAAGUCGUUACCUUCUCAAAAAAAAAAAGUAUAAACAUGGAGUACAUAUUAUUAAGAAUUAAUCAAUUUACAUCCAGUUCUAUUGGACUGAGUUUAACUCAGUACUUUCACAUUGCUGCAGAAUGGCAGAUCUAGUACAUCUUGAGUUACACUUCAUUGUAUGAUGGACACUACCAUGUGUGUUUUAACUUCAUUUUGACCACAAAGUAUAAUUCUUACCAACGGAAUGAGUUGUGGCACUUUAGAAGAGUUGUGGCACUUUAGAAGGCUAGAUUCUGACUAAAAAUCGAUGAGAGUUGAGCAAAAAGUUUCUAUUGCAAUGAAUUAUUUACAUCGAUGUAUGGCAUAGAAUGAAACCAUGUAAGUAAAAAGUUUCAUUACUUCAAUUUCUUUUGAAGUAGAAAAAUGUGUCCAUAGUCUAACUAGUGUUUCUUCAAAACUAUGAACUGUACAGUGUCUAUCCUGGCUUACUACAACUAUACAAAAUUGUGUAAUUAAAAAAAUGGGGACUGGUUUUCUUCUCACUUCCGCAAUCGAGAUGUGAGAUCGAUGAACAAAUCCUCACAGCAUGGAAUAGUCACACCACCCAUUGGAUGGUCGAAGCCAAAUUCUUCCUCAGAUUGACUAAGCAAGUCUUGAAAUAAAGGUUCGCUCAAGAAUGAUAUCGGGAUCACAAAUCUCUUUUUCUGCAUCUCCCCAACAUACACAGCAAAAUGACCCUUGGGAAUAUCUCUAGUUGCAGAAGACUUCUUGAUCAUACGAAGAAUAGCCAUGAUCACUUAGUUUUAGUAUAGGUGAAAAAAAAAAGAAGGAUUGUAAGGUUACCAAAAAGCAGAGAAAGCUUUGAUGUUUGCUGAGUGUUGUGGUGGUAGAUACCUCAUUAGAUAUGUUUAUAUAGGAAAUGGCAACUCAUGUAUAAUGUGUGGGUACCAGCAGAAGACAAUGGCACUGUAGUAUCAGAUGCUCUUGCCUUCCAAGUAUUGAAAACUAUGUGGUGUUAGUUAAAGAACAAUAGGCCCUACCUUAAUUUGAAACUUGGAAAGAGCCAUUUGGAUUGGACAUCAGUACAAGACAAUGAUAUAUUAGUAAUCACAUGGUCCUGCCCUCCAGCUAGUUGCAAUGAUUAAUUACUUUGGCAUAUAUAAGUUCAAGUUCAAUAUGUCCUACAUAUAUUUUCCUAUAGGGAACAAAUGAUCUCUAAGAAUCAAAUCCAUAAAUAUUGCUGGUAGCUUAUGAGGAUAUCUAGGAAUUAACCAUACCCCAGAUGCAAACUUUGUGCCCACUUAUAUAAAAAGAAUAGGAGAUAACAGGGGGAAUAUUAGAAGAACAAUCCAUUGAUUAAUAGUUGGCUCCCUAAGUACAUAAUCAUUUUUUUUUGGCAACUAAUGUGAGUAUUACCAUAACCAACAAACACAAAGUAACAAAUACACCUAAAAAAGAACCUAAUCACAUAACCACCUUCUAGGAAGGGUGUGAUGAGAAAAUAGGCAUCCAAAAUAAAGCUAAUUACAAAUAAGCCUCUGAAUCAAACUGCUACAGCUACGACCUUUUCUCCCUAUUUUUAAUAGAUCUAAUCUUUCCACAAUAUCCUUCUUAAUCUUCUGUAACACAACUGUUCCAGUUUGAACACUCAUGUGCUUGAAUGUAGUCCAGUUCCUAGCCUUCCAAGUAAAUAAUCUUGUUUGUUAUCUUUUACAAGUACAUUGGUUUCUUCAUAAACGAAGAUAAAUAAGUUGGGAUCUUCCUCCAUAAACAGCAUCCCAUCUCUAUAUCCCAAACACAACUAUUAGUACUUUUUUAGUAGCAUUAAGCUCUCAAAUUUCUUCAAGAAAACAUACAAAAGUGGACAUCAGGAAAUCAAACAACUUAAUCACAAGCUGCAGUUUUGAAGCAAAUUAUGAAUUCAAAUUUGGGUAUGCUGAGAUUUAUAUUUGCUAAUGAGUCCAACCAACGACCCGACCCCUAAGAGAAACAAUCAUUUAAAGUAAAUGAAUUAUAAGGAAAAUUCAUGAGAAACCAAAAAUGGAUGAUAAUGCAAAGGACGAAAUAGACCUGAUCAGUUAUAUCAAGUGCUGUGCUUGCCACAAUCGGAAUAAACUUAUUGUCAACCUGUUGGAGAACUUUGGCACCCUCCGGGAAGUUUUUAUUAAUGGUAUCAGGAACCAAUGAAUCGCCAAAAAAAUGCAAGACGCCAGAAGUGACACUGAGUACAAUAUACUGAUUAUUAAAAUUCUCAGUUCCAGCACUGUUCUGCAUCUCAAUAGGAAAAGGUAAAGUUCAUCAUCUUAACAAAAUAGAGAAGAAGCAAAAACAUCCAAGAUAUAGCUAAGGUACUCAACUGUAAUCUUUGGAAGUCCCUCCAUUUUAUCCCAAAAAUCUAAGGAACUUUGAAUUUUUGUUGGUGCAAAUUCUGAAAAAUUGAUUAAAGAAAAGGUCAGCCAUGACAAUAUUAUUACAAGAUCAGAACACAAGCAAGAUGGAAUUUGAAAGAGACUAUGUGGCAUAGGAGUCUUAGAAAGAGACAUUGUAAUCUCUAAUGCUUCCAUGAUUAAUAAGAAUGCAGCCUAAGCUAAUCUUGAAAAGUGGGUGAAAGAAAUGAAGCUAAUUAACUGAAACAUGCACUAGGAAAAUUCAGCUCUUAUUCAGAUCACGAACAAGUGGCAGGAAUGGUUUACCUUCUUUUAACUCCCCAUCGUGUGUACAUGUGCACUCCCCUUGAGCUUGCAAUUUGCUAUUCCAGGUGUUAAUAAGUUCCCUUUUCACACUUGGCCUGAACAGAGAAACAUCAGGUCGUGUUCAUUACUGGCAUAUUUAAUUAAGAUAUAUCAGAAAGAGACCUAACAACCCUCCCAAGAAAUUGGAUAACGCUACCUUUCAUCAGAGAUGAAACCGUCACCACAACUUGGGGUUGAAGAUUGAUCACAUUGAUGGGAUGACUGCUGUGGAAGCUCUCAGCAGAUAGCUUCUGCAGAAUGAUGCAGUCUACUAACUGCUAUAGUUUCAGCACGAAGGAAAAGAACAUUAAUUAGUUGCACCCGUUUUCUGUCAUCAAUGAUUAAUAACACAAACAAGCACUCAAGAACAAAUUACCAAGCAUGAGUGGCACAUCAUGAACAGUCUUAAUACUGUGAUUUCCAGCUGCCUUUCUUGUAGACUCACUCAUUGCAAAGAACUUAAUUCUUACCUUGGUAAAAUGGAGGAACUGAAUGAAUUCUUCUACCCUCUUUCUUCCUUAUAAGCUCAUCCGUUUUACCUCAAUUUCCAGCAUCGAUCCAUUUAUGUCAGUCCCUAUCCGAGCACAGGUCAUGGUAUCAACUAAUUCUUAAGAUUCUCUUCACAUCUCUUAUCCAUCAAUUUGGGCCUGCAUACCUUCACCGUGUAUACAUCGUGAGCCUUGAAUGAACUAUCACUUGCAUUCAAUUUUUAAGGGAACUCAGAUGAAUCCCUAACCCACUGAAAAAUAGUGGCAACAGAGAAAGAGAAGCACGUAGGCAAACAGGUCAUCCUCACUGCAUGCAAAUAAAAAAAAAUCUAAGAAACCAUACAGGAAAUAUCCUCAAGUUAACUGGUUUAUCAAAUAUGGACCUUUCAAUAACAACAAUUUUGAAGGAGACACUGGGAUGCACAAGGGUGGUUCUCAGUCGAGACUCUUUGAGAGAAUGCAAGACCCUCUUUGUGCUUCGGACAGAGUACAGCUUAAGAAGUUACGUAAAUCAAAUGUUUUACUUGUUUGAGUUUGAGGAAAACAAGAAGUACCUGGAGAGCAUUUGUUUCCUUAAAACUGGUUGGUUGUAAAAGCACUGGAAAUAGUACCCGUGAAACUCCUCUUGCAUAUUAGCACUAGAAUUAGGCAUAGGCAUUGCCAAAGAAGAAAAUAACCAUUAAAGUGGAACAUUCACAUGACAUUGUAAACUCUUGAACAUAAUAAACCACUAAAGCAAAAGAAUAUUAAUUACAUUGUUGAAUGUCAAUCAAGAAACAUCAAGAAGUCAAAUUUUUAACAUAAAGCCCUAAAGAACACCCAAGACAAUUAAAAUACUGUAGGCAUCUUAAGAAAAUCUUGAAAUAGCAAUACAAAAAUCCAUCAAAAAAAGAAGAAGAGAGGGGAAGCUUACUUUAAGAUGAAGGCAACACACACACUGAUCAUUAAAAAUAAAUAAUACCAUCCAAUCCAGUGUAGCAAUAGGCAUUCAACUCAUAAUAUUUUUCAAAUUUUAUUUAUCCUUUCUAGAUUGCAACUUGAUAACGUAUCUAAAAUUAAUAAAAUAUACAUUAAUAAAAGGAAAAAUGUACACAAAUUCUAAACUAAUCCAGUCUAAAAUUGUAUCACUAACCUGAUAUUUUUCGAACAUAUAAAGUUUUUACUUUUAAAAUAAUAACAGCGGAACUUGAAAAAUAUAUAUUAAAACUAUUAUGACAACAUACUUAGUAUAGUCUCAGAAGUGGAAUCUAGAAAAGAUCUCAUAAUCAAUAUUAGUUUCAUAAAUAAAAUCUACAAUGGUUGGAUAUACGCAGAUCUUAUCCCAAAAAAAUACAAUAUUAGUGAUUUAAAUACGCAAUCGAAUGGCAUUGGCAUAUUUGUGAAACUUGACAAUGACAUUGAGUUUAGUGAACUGGAGUCAACAAUGACAAAGAAAAUAACUAGAGCAAAAUAUACAAGCAUGUAGUGAACAUAAGAUGGUUACUAAAAAUGUUAGGCACAUGACAAAGCAAUUGGAGAAUGUUAAUGCACUAUGCGUGUAUAUGUAGCUUUGUAUAGGCUACAUAUUAAAUAAUUUUGAAAUUGUGGAUAUGAUUUUAGGCUAAGUUGACAUUUGUAAAGGACAAUUUGCACAAAAUAUAGCGUCAAAACAUUAUAAGUUAGAAUAUACUGAAAUUUAAUAUUUUUCUAAGUGCAUGGAGUAAAAAAUUACAAGGACUAAGGAAUCUUUGUAUUGUAACUCCAUUUCUUCUUUGUUACUUCCUUCUUUUCCUGAAAUAAAUAGCCAACUUACUCAAGAAAUUUACACUUUGCAAUCCUUCUAGAGAGCAUGGAAAAUCUAGACCAAAUAGUUCUUUGAUUCACACAUUUCUUGGCCAAGAUUUGGUGUGUUCAUACAAAUACAACUGACUAUCAUAAUAAUGUUCUUGUUUACAAAAAGAAAGAUCAUAUGUGUGAUGGAGGAGAUAGAUGACACAGUAAUGAUUUAGGUAAUUACACAUCUCAUUAUUUUGGUCCAGAAAAAAAUCAUGUCUAAUUUUCAAGUGUCUUUGGAUCUUCUAUUUUGAUUAUAAACGAAAAUCAUUCACCUCUCAAAUCCACACUCAAUCCUUGAAGCAUCAAGGUGAAAGAGAAAUUUGGUUAUAAUGGGCAAAACAAGCUUCUUAACAGUCUACACUUCUAUAAUGAUACAACAGUGAGUUUCUGGAGGUUCAAAUACCAGAGUUGGGUACUGGUGUGGGUAAUAUAAUGAUCAAUGUAUAUGUGACAAAUCAUCACCAUUAUAAUAGAAUCCAGAAGGACCUGAACUAUUAGGUUCACCCGAUCAAGUCCCCCACACUAUAAAUAUCCUCCUUAGAACAAGCAUUAAAAUUGGGAUCAAACUUUGCCGGAUCUGGGAACAAGCAGUCUUCUUUUCAAUAUUAUAUAUGGCAGGAGUUCCAAAAUCAUAUGUGAGAACAACUUCAUGUUUAACAGAAGUUUCUAUACCAUUUUCAGGCUUUAGCAAUGUUAAGGAUUAACAUCUUGAAACUUGGUCCCGAGCAAAGUAUCUGGUGAAAGAGGAGAUGGUUCUGGACUACAAAACGACAGUCCAGAACCAUAAUUUUCAGCCUAUUUAAAGAGGUCCAUAAGAUGAUCGUCUUCAUCUAACAUGACCUUGGUUAAUGAAGAUUUUUCUGAAUCUCCUGAAACAUUUUAACCUCAUUAGUCAUACUAACGCCCAGAUGACUAACGCCUAAAAUACACUCAACAUUAGACUAAAGGCCAAAUACAAAGAACCUGUAUAAUCAAGAAAACAAUCAUUUUCUUUGGAAAUAGAUGCAAAAGAAUCUGGUUAGCUACUGAAGUAUUUCCUUAAACAUGAAUGAUGUGAUAAAUAAUUUUCCAAAUUAAGUUGGAAGCUAUUUGAGUUUCAAGUCCUCAUAAUUCGAAAAGAGAGAACCUCUACGAUUGACUUGUUACUGAUGGUAUUAGAACAAAAAUAGCUCAUUCCUCGAGUAACAAUUCAUAAUUCACUUGCUAUAAUCAAGCCAAUUAUAAUAUAAAAUAAACCUUAAGAGACAAUGCACACAAAUGAAACUUGAAAUCCUUAGACCCUCAAAAAUCCUUCUUGCUGUCAACAUGGAGCACAGAACUGAUAAAAACUGUGCUAUUGAUACCUCAGAAUGAACUAACUGAGAAAAAGUGCUUGUCAUGCUUUGUUUUCCAUAUCUAGGCAGGCAUACAACCCUUCAGAGGAAGGAAUAUGAACAACUACAGUACCUUUCUCUUUCAAAGACUGAUUUGCAAAUGGUGCACUUUUUGAAUGUAUCCCUAAAAGAAUCAAUCGUUAAAAAAAUGCAUUUAUAAGGAAUUCACGAGAAACCAAAAAUGGCCAUCAUGGACUAUGCAGAGACCAGAACAGACCUGAUUAAUAAUAGGAAGUGUGGUGCCCGCCACAAUUGAAAUAAACUUCUUAUCAACCUGUUGAAGAACUUUGGCAGUUUUUUUCAAUGGUAUCAGGAACCAAUAAAUCACCAACAAAAUGCAAGACGCCAGAAGUGACAUUGAGCACAGUAUCUCAUACUGAAAAGGGUAAAAAAGUCCAGUUCUUAAGAUUUUCUGUUCAAAUUCUGCUCUGCAUCACAUACUGAAAGGGGUAAAAGUCCAUCAUCUUAGCAAGAUAGAGAAGAAGUCGCAAAAACAUCUGGAAUAUAGCUAAGGUAACUCAACUGUAAUCUCUGGACGGAAGUCUCUCCAUUCUGUCACACAAUUAAGAAACUUCGAGCUUUUGUGGUUCAAAUUCUGAAUUUUGAAUAAAAAAUGUCAGUCAUGACUCGUGACAAUUCUAUAAUAAGAUCAGAACAUAGCGGUUGAAAGAGACUAUGGGUCCUAGGGAACUUAAAAAGACACAUGGUAAUCUCUAAUGCUUUUAUGAUUGAAUGCAUUCUGGGAUAAUCUUGAAAAAUGGGUGAAAGAAAUGACUUUAAUUAACUGGAACAUGCACGAGAAAAAUUUAGCUCUUAUUCAGGUCAGCAACAAAUGGCAGGAAUUACCUUCUUUCGAAUCCCCAUCGUGUGAAGUUGUGCACUCCCUCAAGCUUGUACUUUAUUAUUCCAAAUGCUAACUAGUUUCAUUAGAAACACCAGGUCGUGUGAGUUACUAAAAUAUUUGAUUGAGAUAAUAUCAGAAAUAGAACUAACUCUUCCAAGAACGUUGAUAACAUGACCUUUCAUCAGAGAAUACACCGUCACCACAACUUGGGGUGGAGGAUUGACCACAUUGAUGGUAUGACUGCUGUGGAAACUCCAAGCAAAUAGCUUCUGCAGAAUGAUGCAGUCUCCUUACAGCUCUAGUUUCUGCACGAUGGAAACGAACAUUGAUUAGUUGCCCACAUUUCCUGUCAUCAUUGAUCAUUAAUACAAACAAGCACUCAAGGACAAAUUACCUGGCAUGAGUGGCACAUAACGAACAGUCUUGAUACUUUUAUUUGCUGCUGCUGUUCUUGAAGACUAGCUUGUGGCAAAGAAUUUCUUGCCCAAGGAGCUGAAAUGACUUCUUCUACUCUUCCCAUUAUUAUAAUCUCAUCUGUUUUACCUUGAUUUCCAGCAUGAAUCCAUUUACGCGAGUCCCCAUCCCAUCCUAGAGGAGAGCAUAGCUUGUGGUAUCAAAUAAUAAUUAAGAUUUUCUUCACUAUGAGAAUGUAUAUAUGACAAAUCAUCACCAUUAUAAUAGAAUUCAGAAGGAUCUGAACUAUUAACGUCACCCGAUCAAGUCCCCUACACUGUACAUAUCAUCUGUAGAACUAGCACUAAAAUUGAGAUCAAACUUUGCAAGUUUUAGGAACAAGCAGUCCUCUUUUACAUAUUAUUUAUGGCAGGAAUUCCAAAAUUAUACGUGAUAACAACUUCAUAUUUAACAGAAGUUUCUAUACCAUUUUCAGCAAUGUUAAGGAUUAACACCUUAAACUUGGUCCCGACCCAAGCAAAGCAUCUGGUGACGGAGGAGAUGGUUCUGGACUAAAAAACGGCAGGCCAGAUUCAUAUUUUUCAGUCUGUUCAAAAAGGACCAUAAGAUGACCGUCUUCAACUAAAAUGACCUUGAUUAAUGAAGAUUUUAUCUCCUAACAAAGUUUGACCACAUUAGUUAGACUAACGCCCGCCCAAAAUACACAGAACCUGUGUUAUCAAGAAAACAACCAUUUUCUUAUGAAGCACAUGCAAAAGAAUCUUGUUAGCUACUGGGGUAUUUCCUUAAACAUGAAUGAUGUUAUAAAUAGUUUUCCAAAUUCCGUUGGAAGCUAUUUGAGUUUCAAGUACUCAUAAUUCAAAAAAGAGAGAACCUCUACCAUUGACUUGUAUGGUAUUAGAAUAAAAAAAGCUCCUUCCUUGGAAGUCACAAUUCAUAAUUCACUGGCUAUAAAUCAACCCAAUUAAAACAUAAAAUGGACCUUUAGGAGACGAUGCACACAACGAAACUUGAAAGCCUUAAACCAUCAAAAAUCCUUCUUGCUGUCAACAAGAUGGAGCACAGAACUGAUAAAACCUGUGCUAUUGAUACCUCAGAAUGGACUAACUACCCUGAGAAAAAGUGCUGUCAUGUUUUGUCUUCCACAUUUAGACAGGCAUAUAUCCUUCAGUGGAACAUGAAUGUAGAAGGAAUAAGAUAUAAAGUAUUGUAAAAGGUCUGAGAAUGUAGGUGAACAACUAAUCCUAUAUUAACAACUACAAUACCUUUCUCUUUUAAAGACUGAUAUGCAAAUGGUUUACAUUUACUUAGAGAAUGUUACCGAAAGAAGAGUAACAGAUGUUGGCUGCUUGUGACUCAGAUUUAAGGUAACUGCUUUAACCAAAACAUACAACUUCAUGCUCAGAGUUAGGUUUAAAUUUGAUGAAUGUUGCAAAAUUCAGUGCAAUGGAAUUUCUGGUAAAUGACAAUUUUAUCAUGUUCCAUAGACACCCACAUAAGUCAUGAGGAUAUUAAUAAUGAACAGUUAAAUACCGCCAACCAAAUGAAUGAAUUAGUUUUGUUGUGCUUAUUUUUUCUUAUGUGGCUAACUGACAGCUACAUAUUUAUGCAGAUGUUACUUUUUCUUACACGGCCAAAUAAUGUUAUAUUAUUUAUGCAGAAGUCUAUGCUGAGAUUUAUAUUUGCUAAUGAGUCCAACCAAACAAUCCCUAAGAGGAACAAUUGCUUAAAGUAAGUGCAUUUUUCAAGAAAUUUAUGAAAAACCAAGACUGAUCAUAUGGGCUAUGCAAAGGCCAUAUAGACAUUAUCAAUCAUAAGUAUUGUGUUCCCACAAUCAGAAUAAACUUCUUAUCAACCUGUUGGGGGAACUUUGGCACCCUCCAGACAGUUUUUAUCAAUUGUAUCAGCAACCAAUGAAUCGCCAACAAAAGGCAAGACACCAGAAGUGACAUUGGGUAUAGUAUCCAGAUUCUUAGGAUUCUCUGUUCCAGAACCGCUAUGCAUCUCAUACUAGAGGAGCGGCCCUGUUGGUUCACCAAAGCCCGACCCAGCGUCGCACAUUCUCCAAAAGGUAAAGGUUCUAUCAUCUUGUCCAUGUAGUCCUGGUACUCAACUGUAGUCUUUGGACGGAAGUCCCUCCAUUUUGUCCCAGAAUCUAAGGAACUUUGAAUAAACAUAAGCAAGAUAUAAUUUGAAAGAGACUGUGUGGCCUCAGAGACUUAGAAAGAGACAUAAUCCAAAAUGCUUUCAUGAUUAAUAAGAACACAAUCUAAGAUAAUCUUGAAAAGUGGAUGAAAGAAAUGAAGCUAAUUAACUAAAACAUGCACAAGAAAAUUCAGUCUUAUUCAGGUCAGGAAUAAAAACUGCUUACCUUCUUUUGAGUCCCCAUCGCGUGUACUUGUGCAAUCCCCUUGAGUUUGUAAUUUUCUAUUCCAUAUGUUAACAAAUUUCAUUAUAACCCUUGGCCUAAAUAGAGAAAUAUUAGGUCGUGUGAAUUACUAAAAUAUUUUAUUGAGAUAAUAUCAGAAAGAGACCCAACCCUCCCAAGAAAUUUUAUAACAUACCUUUCAACAUAGAACACACCCUUUACCACAUUAUGGGUGGAAGAUUGAGCACAUUGAUGAGAAGACUGAGUGGAAUCUCCGCGCAGAUAGCUUCUGCAGAAUGAUGCAGUCUCCUUACAACUCUAGAUUCUGCACGAUAGAAAAGAACAUUGAUAAGUUGCACAUAUUUUCUUUCAUAGUUGAUUAUUAACACAAAAAAGCACGCGAGGAGAAAUUACCUGGCAUGAGCACAUCAUGAACAGUUUAAAAGAUGUUAUUUCCUGCUGCCGUUCUUGAAGACUCACUUGUGGCAAAGAACUUCUUCUUGUCUUGGUAAAAUGGAGGAGCUGAAUGACUUCUUCUACUCUUCUUCUUCCUUACAAGCUCAUCUGUUUUACCUCGAUUUCCAGCGUCAAUCCAUUUAUGCGAGUCCCCAUCCACCCUAGAGGAGCAUAGCUUGUGGUAGCAACUAAUUUCAAGAUUCUCUUCACCAAGAGAAAGCAUGUGUCAAAUCAUCUCAAUCAAUCAUCUCAAUCAUAAUAGAAUCAAGAAGGACCUGAACUAUAAACAUCCCAUGGAUCCAGUCCCCUAUACCGGCCAUGCCAGUUUGCCCAAUUACAAGUAAAACUGCAAAACAAAAAAAUAGAAGAACACCCGUAAAAAGAUACUAACAAACACAAACUGUCAAACAACCUAUCAGUUGAGGAACGCAUGCAGCCCUAUAGACUACGACAACCAUUCCAAGUUACGAACAUAAUGUUGUCAGUCCAAUAUUUUGCAAAAUGAAUACCACAUCAUUCUCUCCUCAGCAUCUGUCCAUCUCGUGAGACACCAGAUCCUUCAAAAGAAAGUACCAACUUCAGGUGAUGAAGCAAAAUAAUAAAUUGAGCAGAAUUUAUACAUAUCAAAAUGCAUUUAGAUCGACGUCAAAGAAACUAAUAGAUACCAAUGUCAUCCACCUUAAACAAUUCAGGACCCAAUGUCUAUAGCAACAGAUACCUGGUUGAAAAUAGAAACUGGGUUAAAGUUCAACUUAGGAGUACACAAAUUAUAAGAAUAACAAACAUAAAAAGAGCAGUCCAACAAGGGAGUAAAUCUCAUGGAGAAAACAAAGUGCUGUUAUAAGAAUAUUCAUUUGUUAAAAAAAAUGCUUUGAUACUAGAAUUGAGCAUCAUACUAAGAGGAGAAAAGUAUAUCAAUUUUCAUAUAAAGCAUAUCCCUUGUAAAUCAGAGGUAGCAAAAAUAGAAACACAAGAAUCCAUUGAAGAGCCUCACUGAUCAGUGCCUUUGGUGCAAAGAGUCCAAGAUAUCAAAACUGCAUUAAAGCAUGACUGGCCAUAUUCUCAGCAGCCCACAUCUAUUGAUCCUCUAAACAUUAACAAAAUCAGAAAACAUAAAAAUCGCCCACUCUCUUAUAUGACACAAUUUACAACUUAUAAGAAACAAUUGAAAUCAGAAAGUCUAGAGCAUGUUCAUUUCAAAGAUGACACAAUUUACAACUUAUAAGAAACAAUUGAAAUCAGAAAGUCUAGAGCAUGUUCAUUUCAAAGAUGAAAAUAAGUCUAGACCAUGUAUAAGAAAAUGACCACUGAGGGUGUUCUGUCCAAUCGAGUGUCUUCAUUCAAAAUACUACAAAUCAUUUCUUAUAAUUAAACUACUUAUUUUUUAAGAAUUGUGCCAGUGGGGCCUUCAACAAGAAAAACUCCACAUUUUCCCAUUCAAUGGCUUCAUAAUUCAGUUAUAACUAACCAAAAACAACACCACGAGUAUCUAUCAUGAUUCAUGACUUCAUAAUUCAAUUAUAUAAAAAGGCUCACCUCUAUGUGACUAUCACUUUAAUCUUUGCUAGUGAAAGAAAGGCCAGCAUCUUCAAAUUGCUGCACCAUAUCAGGAUCCACCUACGUAGCGCAGGAUAAGUUUUUAGCAUACAUCCCUUACUAAAGAAAUCACAUCCUAUGGUCUACAUAUAAUUAUUAAACCAGUCCACCUAGAUGUGCAUUAGUUACACCACAGUUCCAAAUUUAAAGGAAAAAAAGUGGUGAACCUCAUAUAUAUGACGGUGCCUCUCAUCUGCAAAGCUCCGAUUGCCAAAUCUGAGAAAAGAUAUAAUUAAGACAGUUGGUAAUAUCAAUGGGAAAAAUCCUCCAGAAUGGCUUCACAAACUUAUCAACAAGCAUACCCAAUGUAUGCAAAAAAAAGAAUUUCAAGAAACCAGAGAGAAAAGGCAAAGAACCAUAUCAUUUUAAAAAAUACUUGGUCAGAAAUCAAAAAGUCAAUAAACGAAGUGUAGCAAAGACGACUUAUCACAUCUCUUUAUCCAUCAAUUUGGGGCUGCAUACGUUCAUUGUGUAAACACCAAGACCUGACAGUUAUCCUGAAAGUUAGAAUGCACCAACACUUACAUUCAAUUUGUUAAGGAAACUCAGAUGAAUUCCAAACCCACUAGACAACAGCGGCAAGGAGAAGGAGAAGCACAUGUGCAAAGCAGGUCAUCCUCACUGCAUGCAAAUGAACAAAAUCUAAGGAACUAGACAGGAAAUCCUUAAGUUAGAUGGUGUAUUUAAAACGAACCUUCCAAUGUCAACAAUUUUGAAGGAGACACUGCGAUGCGCAAGGGAGAUUCUUAGCAGAGACUCUUUCGGAGAAUGCAAGACCCUACUUGGAUUUCAAGAUUAUAUAUGCAGACCAAAAAAUCAAUCAGAUCAGAGUACAGUUUAGAAGUAAAGUAUGUAAAGCAAUAUUUUUUACUUGUUUGAUUUUGAGAAAACUAGAAGAACUUGGAAUGCAUUUGCUUCCUUUGAACUUCUAAGUUGUAAAAUACAUCACGAACAAUUACUGCAAAAGAGAAACCCUAGAAAUUUCCUUUAUUAGCAGGCAGCAGUUAACUCAAUUAUCAAGUAGGCUUAUACAAAAUCACCUGCUAUACCAACAUCUCGUCUAUAAUCAUCAAUUCCAAGUUUACAAAACACUUGCCAUCCAGUUAACAAUGGCCAGAUAAGACUUCAAGGACCAGGUUAGUAGUUCUAUACCUAUCCUAGUGUCAACUACUUACUAUAACUCAAAAGAAUUUUACCUUCAAAACCUUACAAUAUCUAUUAGGCCUCCCAUGAGAUUUGGUAACAAUUCCAGAAAAGAAAUAUCAGAAAUAGAGCUCAGAAACAACUAGUUACCACAAGAUAUUCUUGAAAAACACAUCAAAAUAGCUUCAUCAGAUUAACACAAUCGGUAUCAGUGGUGCCAACAAUGAGAGUUAAAUACUGCACAUAAUCUCUGCUGAAUCGAUUGCAUAUCUACCAUGGAACAAAAAUGAACAAGUGACAUGUUUUUCUUUUUUUGUGGCGAUUAGUCAAACCAAUCCUAAUGUCGACUACUUACUAUAACUCAAAAGAAUUUUACCUUCAAAACCUUACAAUAUCUAUUAGGCCUCCGAUGAGAUUUGGUAACAAUUCCAGCAAAGAAAUAUGUAGAUAUGGUACAACAAAGUAGCGGCAGGUGAUGACCAGCACUUUUAACAAAUAGCAUGUCAUUGGAGUAAAUAGCUUCCUAUUCAGAUCUAGCAGAAUGUCUACAGAAUCACACAAUGUAAUCAAUUGAAACAAAAUUCAGUAAUCCUAAAAGUGCAACAGUUCUCAAGUUUGAUCUAGUCCACUGUCUGCAGUCGAAAACUAAGAGAAACCAGAUGCAGUCCUCUGGUUACAUGUGCUCCCACUUCCUCCACUUUUGUCACUUCCUCAGAGCCUAUUCUAGCUUUUCCUUUAUCCCCUCAUUCUAAUUAAUGGUAUUUCGUAAAACUUUUGAAACAUUAGCGUAGGUGUUAAAUGUUCAAAUGAAUUUAUUUACACCAAAGAAUAGAAAAGAUACUAACUCAGUCCUGAAGGAGGUAAGUUGAUUCAACCUUCUGACUAAAAGGAUACAUAAAAAGGUACUCAUUUAAAAUACUACAAAUCAAAGUUAGGCUACAGUUUUCCGGUGUUUAGAAAUAAUCAAAAGUCAAAAAGUCUAGACCAUGUAAAAGAAAGGGGCGGUGAGGGGAUUUUAAGUCUACAAUUGAGUGUCUUCAUUCAAAAUACUACAAAUCACAAACUUACUUAUAAUUAAACUACUUUUUUUUUAUAUAGUUGCGCAGUAGGCCUUCAAGAACAACUUCACGUCUUUUUUCAAUUCCAAUUUUCCAAGAGGAAGCAGGGGAAAUUAGGGCCAAACAAGUUCUUGAACAUCCUUAACAUGCAUUGACAGGAUGACAACCUAAUUUGCUUUUAAAAAAAAGUUUACUUGAAUUUUCUUGAAAAAGCCAACAAAUUCUUGAAAUUUUCUUGAAUUUCAACAUGCAAAAUCGAGUUCUUUGGAAGAAUAUCAAGAUAAUGAGUAGAGUACCAAGAGAUAGAUCAAUUGAUUUAGGGUUAGGGUUUUGAUCGGACAUCGUCACUUGAACCAUCAAGAACACCAACAAGUUCAAUGAACUUUUCUUAAAAAUUAAACACAAAAUAGAGUUGUUGAAUUCGAAUAUGCCGAAUGCCAAUGAAUCAUGAUAGAUUUGCCGAUAGCCGCCGGUAGCGUAGAAGUUCCGGCGGUCGAAGUAUUGAGUUCUAAAAUGGACACUAGGUUCUCUGUUUUAUAGUUUUAGAACCAGAUAAUACACGCGGCAGAAAAAUAGAACGCGGAAAAAUAACUACUUAAUAAAAAAUAUAUUACUUUUUUGUAAACUAUUUUAUUCUAGUAAUUAAUUUUUUAUACUUUUUGUAAUAGGAAGAAAUUAUUCAUUGAAUGUGAAACACGGCCAAAGAUAAUCUGUAAUACUUUGCAAAUGAACUAAAACAUUCAUAUUUUUUAUAUACUAGUUUCUCACAACGUGCGUUGCAUGUUUACUUUUUACUAUUAUUAUAUAAUUUAAAAUUGUGCUAUCAAAUAAAAAAUAUUUAAAUUAACAAUAUUAAUUUUACCAAUUAUAUUUCAUGUAUCAAUAAAAAUAAAUAAAAAGGGAUUGCGCAUUUGGCAUCAAGCAAAAAGUAUGUAAAAUUAAUUAACAUAAUAUAAUCUCCUUUAACUUUGUAUAAGUCUUUUUUAUGAUCUAAAUAUCAGUGAUAACAUUUUAUAGCCAUAAAUGAAUAUUAAAAAUACAUGCACACUUAUUGAUAAGAUUGACUAUUUUAUUUUAAUGAGAAACGAUAGAGUGAAAUAUUUAUAUUAUUUAAGUAAGGUUCUAAAAUUAAAAGACAGUACUAUCAAAAUUAUACAAGAUUAAAAGCAAUUACAUUUAAAAUAUAAAACUAAUAAAUAUAUAAUUUAAGCACUGAAUCUCAUACAUACAUCUAUUUCAAAAGCUCAUAAUAAUAGCUAAAAGAUUACAAUAUCAAAUGAGUUUAUUAGAAAUGCAAAAGGAAUUAAAAACAACAAUAAUCUUCGUGAUGGAGAAUAUAUAUCGAAAGAGAUAUGAGGAGUUAGGCAUGUCUAAAAAGAAGUCUUCAAGUUCUUCUCCCCACCUCAUGUAUUCUAUAUUUUCAUGUCUUUUUGGCGAAUCAUAGAUGGAAUAGUUUUUUUAUUAUCAGUUGAAUGACAAUUUCUUUCAUUUUUCAAUGUUAUCACCUAGUUCUUAAAUAGAUGUCUGUUUAAAUUCUAUAUUUUUCAGUUCUAAAUAAUAAUCUUUAAUAUACAGAUAGAUGGAAAGAUGAAAAAUACAAAUCAUAGUUAGACUUAAUAAGAGAAUUAACAUUACUACUAAUAAUUAUUACUUUGAACUUGGAAUCUAAUCUAGUUUGAAUGAAUAAUUAAAAAGAUGAAAAACACAAAUGAUUGUAAUUAGUAAUAAAUGAGGCAGUUACAAGUUAUCUCAAUAAUUUAUUACUAAUUCAUUCAUAUAUAAUAACACACUUUUAAUAUCAUAGUAAUAAUAAAUAAAAUAAAUGGCAUUAAUCGAUUAAAUAGGGGGGUCACUCUUUUCAUAUGCCAAUAAUUAUUUUAGGAUAUACGUGUACAAUUAAAAUAUAUCUUUUCACAUUCCAAACAUUUAAUUAUUUGCUUAUAUUUUAAUUAAGAAUUAAUUUAAGAAAAUGCAAAAGUCAUCUACAUUUUUAUUAAAAUGAUACAAGUUAACAUUUAAACUAAAUAAAUACUUAAGUGCUUUUAUAACAUUUUAAUUUUUAGUAUGGAUAAAAUUGUAAUUCAACUUUUAACUUUUUUUUGUUCUCUCUUAUAAUAAUACUAGUAUCUGGAACGUGCGUUGCACGUUUGUCCCUUAAUAUUUUUAUUUUAAGUUUUUCUUUAUAAAGUUCAAUUAUAUAUCAAGAAAUGCAAAAAUUAACAAUUUUAAUUAUGAUUUAAUCUCAAAUGGUAUGAAUAUGUCUAUGAAUAGCUAAUUAUUUUUUCAGAUCAAACAACUUAUUUAUUGAAGUAGUUUACAAUGAUUUUUUACUCGAAAAAAUAAUAAACAGAUGUAAGAUUCUUUUUCUUUUGUGCUUAUAUGAAUUGCAUUUUUUUCCUUUUUUUAAAAAAAAUAUACAAUAGUAUUUUUUUAAUGAAAAUAGAAAAAAUUGACGAACAUUAUUCUCAUUUUCGAAUAUCUUUUGAUCUUUGUUUCCAUAAGAUGAAAAUUAAUUAUAUGAACCAAAAGAUUAAUUUAAGAAAUUGGGAUAAAUAGUUCUAAUUUAAAAAUAAUCAUUUCGUUUUCAUAUCAAACACUAUAUUGCUAAACAUACUAAGAUUGAGGCUUAAACCACACAUACAUAUAUAAAAAGGAUAGAUAUACCUGAAAAAAAAGAAUCUCUAGCAGAAUGAGAAUGAAUGGAAGAUGAGAGCAAGAAAACUUACUGUGUACCUAUAUAGAGUUUUGUAAUGUAAAGAAUAUGAAAAGAUGGAGAAAAUUAUAUAAACAUUGAUCAACAAUAACCAAGAAAAAUAUGACAUGAACCGUUUUUGGAUUGUAAUCAAGGAGCUUAUGACUAUCUAUCUUCAAUCUGAAGUAUUGAAUUUAGUGUAAAGCAUUAAGUGCGGUUGGAAUGAGUUUAACUGCAGAAACUCAAAGGAUCAUUAAUUAAAAAAAAAAACUGUUUUGCUAUCAUUAUUUAUUUAAUUUUCAAAUUUACAUUUUCUAAUUUAAUAAAAAAGUGAAGGGCAUUUUAGUAAUCCAACUUUAAACUCAAAACCUUCCCACUUAUAAUAAUACUAGUUUCUGACAACGUGCGUUGCAUGUUAAUUUUAUCAAUUAUAUUUCAUCUAUCAACAAAAAUAAAUAUUAAGGGAUUGCGCAUUUGGCAUUCAGCAAAAAAUAUGUGAAAUUAAUUAAUAUACUAUAGUCUCCUUUAACUUUGUAUAAGUCUUUUUUAUGAUCUAAAUAUCAUUGUUAACCUUUUAUAGCCAUAAAUGGAUAUUAAAAAUACAUACACACUUAUUGAUAAGAUUGCCUAUAUUAUUUUAAUGAAAAACGAAAGAGUGAAAUAUUUAUAUUAUUUAAGGUUCUAAAAUUAAAAGAUAGUACUAUCAAGAUUAUACAAAUUAAAAACAAUUACAUUUAAAAUAUAAAACUGACAGAUAUAUAAUUUAAACACUGAACUUUAUACAUACAUCUAUUUCAAAAGCUCAUAAUAAUAGCUAAAAGAUUACAACACCACAAUGAGUUUAUUAGAAACACAAAAGAAAUUAGAAACAACAAUAAUCUUCGUGAUGGAGAAUAUAUAUUGAAAGAGAUAUGAGGACUUAGGCUGUCUAAAAAGAAGUCAAGUUCUACUCCCCACCUCAUGUAUUCUAUUUUUUCAUGUCUUUUUUGCCUAUCAUAGAUGAAAUAGUUUUUUGAUUAUCAGUUGAAUGACAAUUUCUUUCAUUUUUCAAUGGUUAUCACAUAGUUUUUAAAUAGUAGUAAAAAUAUAUGUCUGAAUUCUAUAUUUUUCAGUUCUAAAUAAUAGUCUUUAAUAUAUAGAUAGAUGGAAAGAUGAAAAAUACAAGUCAUAGUUAGACUUAAUAAGAGAAUUAACAUUACCACUAAUAAUUAUUGCUCUGAACUUGGAAUCUAGUCUUAGUUUAAAUGAAUAGUUAAAAAGAUGAAAAACACAAAUCAUUGUAAUUAGUAAUAAAUGAAACAAUUACAAGUCAUCUCAAUAAUUUAUUACUAAUUCAUUCAUAUAUAAUAACACACUUUUAAUAUCUUAGUAAUAAUAAAUCAAAUAAAUAAAAUCAGUGAUAUUAAUCGGAUAAAUGGAGGGUCACUCUUUUCAUAUGCCAGUAAUUAUUCUAGGAUAUACAUGUACAAUUAAAAUAUAUCUUUUCACAUUCCAAACAUUUAAUUAUUUGCUUAUAUUUUAAUUAAGAAUUAAUUUAAGGAAAUGCAAAAGUCAUCUACAUUUUUAUUAAAAUGAUACAAUUUAAUAUUUAAAAUAAAUAAUUAAAUGCUUUUAUAACAUUUUAAUUUAUAGUAAGGAUAAAAUUAUAAUUCAACUUUUAACUUUUUUGUUCUCUCUUAUAAUAAUACUACUGAAGACGUGCUUUGCACGUGUGUUCUAUGUGAAUUUUUAUAGAUAUGUUAUAAUGAUAAAAAUUUUAUGAAAAUAUAUAUGUAAAUUAAUGAAUAAUAUAAUGUAACAAUUACAAAAUAAGAAUAAAGACUUACGCAAUAAAACAUUCAUAAAAAAACUAAAUUAAGAAGUCGGAUGGUGAUAAAAAAAAAAGACAAAAAGAAACAGAUUUAAGAAAGAUCCAAUGUAAACAUUGUUCUUAUAAGGCUGAUGUAUGUAUAGAUGAAAAAAUAAGUACAAAAUUAGUACAUAACUCUCUGAGUUCUUAUCGACUCCUUUCAUAUUCUAUCAAAAUUCAAGAGGUUUCUUUAUCUACUUUAACUAUAGAAUGAAAAUGAUAGCCUAAUAAUCUUGGUAGGAUUUCACGAGAUUAAAAAAGUUGAAUUUAUAUAGAUAGAAUAGAAGGAAUAUCAAAAGAUAUAUUAAAGUUUUAGUUUAAAUAUUUGGAGGUUAUGAAUAUGAAAAGAUGAAAGUUCUGAAUAUUAAGAGUAUAAAGUUGAAUAAGUAAUUAACAAAUAAUAAUAAAUAAAUGAAGAAUAUGAAAUAAGAAGUUAAAAUUAGCAAACCAUGUAGAAAGAACAACUAAAAGUCUUAUCACGUAAUUAAGCGUUAAUGAAUUUAAAUUUGUAAAGAUAGAGUCAUUCUUUAAUAAUAAUCGAGAGGACAUUAUCAACGUGUGUCUCCAUUUUGCAAAUUUGCACCGUUUAUAUUAUUAAAUUCGUUAUUUAUCAUAAAGGAUAAUACUUUAUCCACAUAAAUUAUAUUAUUCAUGAGAGGGGUUAAGGAAAAAGUUACAGAAAGAGGAAAAAUAUAGCAAUUUAGUAAAUACUUUUUUUAAAAAAAAAUUAUAAUUAUUAUAUACAUAUAGAUUAUAGAUGAUAAAUAUUAAUUAAUUGGAUAUUUAAUUAGAAAUCAAUCUUUAGAAGUCUAAAAGUCAUUAACCUUUUAAUUAAAUUUAUACAAUCAAAUAUUUAAAUAUUUUAUAACAAUUUAAUUUAUAGAAGGGGUAAAACUGUAAUUCAACUUUCAACUUUUUUUGUUCAUGCUUUUAGUAAUACUAGUUCUCGGAACGUGCAUCGCACGUUUGUCCCCUAAUUGAUAUUAGAAAAUUUUAAUUUGUAUAGCUAAGUUCAAAUCUAAGUCCUUUCAUAUGUAAGUUUAACAUAAGAAUAUAACUCGGCAAAAAAUAUGACAUGAAAAUCUUGUGUUAGAUGUUGGAAGUUUUAUAUAUUAAAUACUUCAUGAAAAAUAAACAUUUAUUUUAUCAGAGGAUUAAUAUAUUUUAAUUACUAAACAUAAGUUUUAAUAAUCAAAAAAGAUAUUGUCUAUUAAAAAAAUAUACGUAUAAAGAAAAAUAUUACAAAAUGUUGGGCGGUAUACCAUCAAAUUUAUAGAAAAAAAUACAAUUUCAAACGAAAAAAAAAGAAGUAAAUAAAGACAUGGCAUCCAUAAAAAAAGUCAUCACAUUAAAAUAUAAAGAGAAAUUUUUUUUCAUACUAAUUGAAUUACAUUUUGUUAAAAGUAGACUUAUUCUAGACAAAACAUGACUUACUCUAGACAAAACAUAUAGUAUAUAAUAAUAAUAAAUAAGACAAACAGAAAGAAGGCAUCAAUAUGUUAUGAAUAAAGAUAAACUAUAUAUAUAUAUAAAUUCUAAAAUAAUAUUAUUCAAUGUAUCAUUUAGUCAUUUUUUUACUAUACAUUAAUUUUUUAUUAUUUUUACUUUUGCACUUAUUUUGUACCUCUCUAUAACAGUUAAACAUAUGAAUUUUUUGAACGUUUGAGAUUACAUAUAAAAAGGAAAAAGUACAAAUAUGUUGAUUUAAAAAGAUAAAUAAUUAUCAAACAAUGAAAAAGACAUAAUUAUUAUUCUAUGGGAUUUAACAUGUUUGCCCUCAAAAUAAUUAAUGAUAAACACAAAAUGUGAUUAGCUUUACUACAUAUAUCCUAAAAAUAGAAGAAAGGAUAUGAAUACAAAAAUACAGUAAUCAACUACAAAGUUAUAUUUAAAAACUCAAAACGAUGAAGAUGUGAAAAAUAAAUAUUUACUUACAACUUCAUAUUGGAGUAUAUUCAUCUUGUAACUAUCAUAAUAUAUUUCUCAACAAAAAGAAGAUGAAUAUGCAUGAAAUUUUAAAGAAUACAAAUAAAUAAAAUAGUAUGAAUUCUUAUAAUUACAAACUGAUAAUGAAAUUUUACAAGGGAUGUAGACUAACCUAUUGUAGUAUGCAAGAUGAUUACAAACUUGAAUGAAAUAAGUAAUAUAUAUAUUGUGGUGAGAGUGUGUUUGAUAGACUCUUCAUUACCCCUACUUAUCUUACAAAUUAAAGUUGAAAGGUUAUUAGACUCUUCAUUAUCUACAUUUAAUUAGUACAUGAAUAUAUGAUGCAUUAAGAUCUUAUUUGAUGCAUGAAUUUAAAUAUAACUUUUACUUAAUAUUUAAUUAAUUAAAUAGAUAUUAAUGUUAAUUUAUUUUAGAGAAAAAAAUAAGGAUAAAAUGAUAAUUCAACUUUGAGGUUUGGAGCUUCCCACUUAUAAUAAUAUAUGAUAUGAUAUGAUUUCUGCAGCAGUAUAAUGUUAUGUUGUUUUUUAUUUGUUGGGAAAACUCAAACAAGCAUGAAAAUAUAUAUGGUAAAAGUAAUGAAAAUAAAAUGAGAAAAUAAUGACAUCAAGAAUUUUAGGUGGAAAUCCUUUAAAAUAAGGGAAAAAUCACAGGCCAAAAGGAGCAACUGAUAUUAUUAUAGUAAGAAAUUUUAAACUGUGUAGUCACGAAUACAAUAAUCAAAGUGACUAUUAUACACUAAAAAAAACAACACUCUUUUGGUUUCCAUCUUAAUAAAAUAUCGCUCACACUCUUUUUUUUUCGCAGACGAUUUUUCUUGCGUAGUCUAUGGAAUAUCUCACUUUGAUCCCAAAAUAAUUUUUUCUCUCUAACUUGGUAUGUUCUACAAAUAAGUAAGAAUGCUCUAUUUAUAGAAGGAGAAAUCAUGUCUAUGUCACUACUGCCAUAGGUAAAUAUAGCAAAGUCAACAAAGGGUUGCAAACCUUACCAAUUUGCUAACUAUCAAAUCAUUUAUUUGCAACUCUGAUUAUUAUUCCUUUUUAACAAUUACUUGUAGCAAUUAAAUAGCAAAAAUUGAUCAAAAAAUGAAAUGGACUCAACAGUAUUGAGGUCUUGAGGAUAACGUAGACUUUAGCUCUUUGAGAAGCUCCAAUUCCCCUGUUAUAAAUUGCCUUCCAACUCAUGGCCAUAAUACUACUAAUGCAAACUCUCAUGUGUCCACUUAUAUCAAAACUAUAACAAAAAACAAAUCAAUCAUAUAGAAGAUUCAACUGGUAGAGAGGCAUUUGUUGUACUGUUGAUUGACUAUAGCACAUGGUUUUGCUACUCAACUCAUUGUCAUUGCUCUUCAAUAUCAGCAGUCCCUACAGCCAGCCCCCCAGUGUUUUUCACAACAAGAUAGAGAAUAGAAGACUAUUAAAAAUUAAUUUGAUAACUUUGAGUCAUUGUCAACACAGAUUCUUUUGAGAUAAUAACAGGUAAUUCCCAUUAGUAACAAAAUCUGACCAUUAUGUAGGAUCAACUUUUCUGAUAGAAUAAUCCAAGCUAUUUCAAAGAUUUUGGGAAAUGUUUCCAAAUAGUAGAGAAUAUAUAUUUUUUUUAACUGGCUAUCGACAUAUAUGUGUGACUAUGUUUUGCAAAUCUCCAUUAAAUUAUGAGUCAGUCAAAACCUAUUGCCAGAAAUAUGAGUUCAUAUUCAAGAAGAGUAAAGAUGUUAUUUCUUCUAAAGAGUUAAUUAAUUUGCAUCUGUAUUUUGUCACAUUUGACUGCACUCAGUACUGACACUAUACAUCUUGAGUUAUACCUCACUGCCGCUAUCAAGUGCAGCAAGCUUCAUUUGAAACCAUUAAGUGUAAUUAUCAUUUUUACCAAAUUGAAUGAGUUAUGCCACUUUAGGGGACCAGAUUGUAGUUCAUUCUGAUUAACAAACGGUAAGAGUUGACCAAAAAACUUCUAUUGUAAUGAAUUGAUUACAUUAAUAUAUGGAAGUAAAAAGUUUCAUUACUUCAAUUUCUUUUGAAGUAGAAAAGUGUGUCCUUAGUCUACCUAGUGUUUCUUAUAACUCUCAACCGUACACAGUGGAGUUCCUAGCUUACUACAACUAUACAAAAUUGAGUUAACAAAAAAAUAGGGACUGGUUUCCUUCUCACUUCCUCAAUCGAGAUGUGACAUCGAUGAACAAAUCCUCACUGCAGGGAAUAGUCACACCACCCAUUGGAUGGUCGAAGCCAAAUUCUUCCUCAGCUUGACUAAGCAAGUCUUGAAAUAAAGGUUCGCUCAAGAAUGAUAUGGGGAUCAUGAAUCUCUUUUUCUGCAUCUCCCCAACAUACACAGCAAAAUGGCCCUUGGGAAUAUCUCUGGUUGCGGAAGACUUCUUGAUCAUACGAAGAAUAGCCAUGAUGAUUUAGUUUUAGUAUAGAUAAGAAAGGUAAAAGAAAUACAAAGGAACUCAAAAGCAGAAAAAAGUUUUGAUGUUUGCUGAGAGCUGUUGUGGAAGAUACCACUUUGGAUGUUUAUAUAGGCAAUAUCGACUCAUUCUGAUGUAUUUUGAGUAGGAAUUUGUGGGCACCAGCAGAAGACAAUGUCACUGAAGUAUCACAUGCUCUUGCCUUCCAAGUAUUGAAAACUUUGUGGUAUUAGUUGAAGAACAAUAGGCCCUACAUUUUUUUGAAUCUUGGAAAGAAGCAUUAUUCAUUAUGGAAUUUUUGAGAAGUCAUAAAGUUCUUGAUUCUGGUGAAGAGCCAUUUGGAUUGGACAUCAGUUAAAGACGAUGAUAUAUCAGUAAUCACAUGGCCCUGCCUUCCAGCUAGUUGACAUGAGUAAUUGCUUUAGCUCAUCAGAUCAAGUUCAAUAGGUCCUGCAUAUAUUUUCCUAUAGGGAACCAAGGAUCUCUAAGAAUCAAAUCCAUAAAAAUUGCUGGUAGCCUAUGAUGCAAACUGUGUCCACUUAUAUACAAACUAUAAGAGAAGAGAAGUCAAAAAUAUGAAAGAUUUCACUGGUGGAGAGGUAUUUGUUGCACUGUUUAUUGACAAUAGCACAUGAAGCAUCACAUGGUGUUGUUGCCAACUCAUUGUCUAAUAUAUAUGAUCUUAGCAAAUUGCUCAUGAAUAUCAUCAGACCCCAGUGUUUUUCAUGACAAGAUAGAGAACAGACUAUCUUUAGAGAUCAAAUUGAUAAUUUACUGCAAUAGUUGACAACUUGUGGGAUCAACAUUCCGGAUGAGAAUAACCCAUGGUAUUUCAAUAGUUUUUGACAAGUGUUUUCAAAUAGUAGAUAACAGAAAUGUUUAUUGACUAUCAAUAUGUCUAUGUUUUGCAUAUCCAUCAAAUUAUGAGUCAGUCAGAACCUUACUGUUGCCAGAAAUUUGAAUCCAUAUUCAAGAAAAGUAUAGAUAUUAUAUCUUAUUAAGAGUUGAUGAAUUUACAUCCAUUUUCUAUCUCAUUCAGUUAACUCAGUAAUUUCACAUUACUGCAGAAUAUCAGAUCUAGUACAUAUUGAGUUAUUUGUACAUUGUACGACGGAUGCUGCCAAGUGCAUCUAAUUUAUUUGGAACCCCAAAGUGUAAUUAUUACCAAUAGAAUGAAUUGUGCCACUAAAGAAUGAAUUGAGAAAACCAUGAGAGUUGAGCAAAAAAUUUCUAUUGCAAUGAAUUGAUUACAUCAAUGUAUGGAAGUAAAAUGUUUCAUUACUUCAAUUACUUUUGAAGUAGAAAAAUGUGUCCUUAGUCUACCUAGUGUUUCUUAUAACUCUCAACUGUACACAGUGGAGUUCCUGGCUUACUACAACUAUACAAAAUUGAGUUAACAAAAAAAUAGGGACUGGUUUCCUUCUCACAUUCUCAAUCGAGAUGUGACAUCGAUGAACAAAUCCUCACUGCAGGGAAUAGUCACACCACCCAUUGGAUGGUCGAAGCCAAAUUCUUCCUCAGCUUGACUAAGCAAGUCUUGAAAUAAAGGUUCGCUCAAGAAUGAUAUGGGGAUCACAAAUCUCUUUUUCUGCAUCUCCCCAACAUACACAGCAAAAUGGCCCUUGGGAAUAUCUCUGGUUGCGGAAGGCUUCUUGAUCAUACGAAGAAUAGCCAUGAUGAUUUAGUUUUAGUAUAGAUAAGAAAGGUAAAAGAAUUACAAGGAACUCAAAAGCAGAGAAAGUUUUGAUGUUUGCUGAGAGCUGUGGUAGUAGAUAUCUCUUUGGAUAUGUUUAUAUAGACAAUGGAAACUCAUACCGAUGUGGUGUUGAAUAAGAAAUUGUGGGCACCAGCAGAAGACAAUGUCACUGAAGUAUCACAUGCUCUUGCCUUCCAAGUAUUGAAAACUUUGUGGUAUUAGUUAAAGAACAAUAGGCCCUACCUUAUUUUGAAACUUCGAUAGAAGCAUAAUUCAUUAUAGAAUUUUUGAGAAGCUAUGACCUGGAACAUGGACCACUAACAUGAAAAACAUAACCACAUUGGGAAACAUAAAAUUUCAUUAAUUAAUAUCCCAAAACAACAAGUAACAUGAGAGAGGUCAAACUCUUCCCAUCUUUGGACUUGAAAGGCUUUAGUUAUCAAGGAUUACAGGCCCUACCUUUUCUUUGAACUUAAAGAGCAAAGUAUCCCUCACAACCAAAUAGCUAAACAAGUAUUGUCUAGGUACACAUCAAAUUUUAUAUGUUGACAUGUUUUUGUUGUAAGAAUUAUUCCUGAGAAAACAAAAAUAGUUUAUAUGGCCAUAAGCUUCCAAUUCCAAGUGCUUCCUAGCAUAGGUUUAUAACUUUUCAUUAAUCAUUAUGGCUCUAAUUGGUUGAAAAGAAUUUGUAUAUGGAGUCUUAGGAAGUGGUUCUAAGAUCUUAAAAUUGUUGUUGUGAUAUCUCAACAUCACAUUCUCACUUACCAUUCUACUUGUCAUUAAAUAAAUAUACAAAGCAAAAGACCAUCAAUAGGCACCUGAUGGAUAUCAUAUGGUUUUACCUUCUAUGUCCUUUUGGGCACUGCUUAUGAUUUGUGAUAUAGUCCUAUUUUCAUGACCAUACAUAAAAAAAGUGAAAAACCAAGUUGAGAAGAGGAAAGAGGAUAAAGGUGAAUUUUUGCGUUGAUCUACAUUGUAGACUCUACAACUAUUUGAAGUAAGUAAAACACAUAAAGCUAUGGUUUGGAUUCAAUAACUUGCAAACAAAUAUUAUUAGUUACUUCUACACAGGCCUCUCUUAGAGAACCAUAGAGUAAAUACAGUUGUGCUAAGGCCUCUCUUAGAGAACCAUAGAGUAAAUACAGUUGUGCUAAUCGAUGCUUUUAGAAACAAGUUGGCAUAGAUAUAUGCAAUGUUUUCUUCUCAUAUCAUAAGUCAUUUGAUCAAAUGGUUGGACCAACUUUGCAGAUCAGAAUUGUCCUGAGUUUUUCAGCUGCUCGAGCGAAAUUCUAAUAAAUCAUCAAACCAGUAUUGAUUUUUCAGAAGAGAAGAAAUAGAAAAUGUCUAAUGAAGUGUGAAGUUGUGAACUAUGAAUGUGACUUCUUCGAUAUUUUGAAAUUUCUUCUGCUGAUUUCAUUUCUUUGGCUGCGCCAAAUAUAUUUCAGUGUUCAGGAUAAGGUCACAGAUGAGUUUUCUUUAGAGUUAAUUAACAUAGACUUCAGCACUUUAUAAGGUCCAAUUCCUAUGUUAUGGAAAGAACAGUCAUGUAAAGAAAUUUGUUGAACAGAAAUAAUAAUACCAAAUUGGAUACUGAAUGAGUCUGAACUGAUUUCAUUUGCUAAACUACUGAAAAUUGUAUUCAAAAUUGGGAUCUAUAGAUCCAGCUGACAGUAGUGAGAAGUAACAAUGUGUGUUUCCUAAUUCCUCUUAUGUACAAACUAAAAAUCCUAUUCUUUACAAAACUGUGAAAAUAAAAGCCUCAGAUCCUAUUCAAGCGAGAAGUAAGAUCAACGAACACAUCUUCACUGCAGGGUAUUGUUACACCACCCAUUGGAUGAUCGAAGCCAAAUUCUUCCUCAGCUUGACUAAGCAAGUCUUGAAAUAAAGGUUGGCUCAAGAAUGAAAUGGGAAUUACAAAUCUCUUCUUUUGGUUCUCCCCAACAUAAACAGCAAAGUGGCCUUUAGGAACAUCUGCGACUGUAGAGGACUUCUUGAUUAUACGAGGCAUACGGAUAGCCAUGGUCUUUUAGUUCAAUAUAUAGAUGAGGAAAUAAGGAAGGGAAGAAUUUGUAAGGACUCUGAAAGAACAGAUAAGCUUUGUAUGACUUAAAUUUUUGGUCAGAGCUGUUAUGGUAAACCCUUCUUUAUAUGUGUUUAUAUAGGCCAAUGACAAGUUGUCAAACCCCACUGAUGUCUGAAUAUACAUUUUGUGGACACCAGCUAAAGACAGUAGCACCUGAAGUAUCACAUGGUUUUGCCUUCCAACUCAUUGUCAUAAUAUUAAUGCAAACUCUCAUGUCCACUUAUAUAAAAACUAUAAGAGAAAACAAAUCAAUCAUAUAGAAGAUUCAACUGGUGGAGAGGCAUUUGUAGUAAUGUUGAUUGACAAUAGCACAUGGUUUUGCUACUCAACUCAUUGUCAAGUAUAUAUGAUCUUAGUCAUUGCACUUCAAUAUUAGCAGUCCCUUGUUUUUCAGGACAAGAUAGAGAACUGAAGAUUUUUAGAAAUCAAUAUGCUAACAUUGAGUCAUUGUCAACAGCAGGAUUUUAUGAGUUUGAUCAGAAUGAUAAUAACAGGUAAAAUUUACUACCAUCUGACCAUUUGCGUAGUCCCUCAAGCUAAGUCAUUAUGUAGGAACAACUUUCCUGAUUAAAAUAAACCAACCCAUUUCAAUAGAUUUUUUCUACAUGUUUCCAAAUAGUAGAGAAUACUAUAUAUUCUUUACUGGCUAUCUCUGUCCAUGUUAUGCGAAUCUCCAUCAAAUUAUUAGUCAGUCAACACCUUAUUAUUGCUACAAAUUCGAAUUUCAUAUUCAAAAGUACAGAUACUAUUUCUUAUGAAGAGUUCAUAAAGUGUAAUUAUCAUUUUUACCAAUUGAAUGAGGUAUGCCACUUAAGAGGACUAGAUUGUAGUUCUUUCUGAUUACCAAACCAUUAGAGUUGAGCAAACAAUUUCUAUUGCAAUGAAUUGAUUACAUCAAUGUAUGGAAGUAAAAAGUUUCAUUACUUCAAUUUCUUUUGAAGUAGAAAAAUGUGUCCUAGUCUAGCUAUUGUUUCUUCUAACUCUCAACUGUACACAGUGGAGUUCCUGGCUUACUAACAACUAUACAAAAUUGUGUAACAAAAAAAUGGGGACUAGUUUCCUUCUCACUUCCUCAAUCGAAAUGUGAGAUCCAUGAACAAAAACUCACUGCAGGGAAUAGUAACACCGCCCAUCGGAUGUUCGAAGCCAAAUUCAUCCUCGGCUUGACUAAGCAAGUCUUGAAACAAAGGUUCGCUCAAGAAUGAUAUUGGAAUUACAAAUCUCUUUUUCUGCAUCUCUCCAACAUACACAGCAAAAUGGCCCUUGGGAAUAUCUCUAGUUGCGGAAUACUUCUUGAUCAUACGGAGAAUAGCCAUGAUCUCUUAGUUUUAGUAUAGAUGAAAAAAAAAGGACUGUUGAGGGAACUCAAAAGCAGAGAAAACGUUGAUGUUUAC
RNAcentral lists this long non-coding RNA (33395 nucleotides) under Solanum lycopersicum (tomato). Its description in RNAcentral is "long non-coding RNA (SLYC_LNC001112)". Lineage: Eukaryota; Viridiplantae; Streptophyta; Magnoliopsida; Solanales; Solanaceae. The record is from RNAcentral.